This is a long non-coding RNA of Betta splendens (Siamese fighting fish), 2140 nucleotides long. RefSeq lists it as uncharacterized. Lineage: Eukaryota; Metazoa; Chordata; Actinopteri; Anabantiformes; Osphronemidae. The transcript is spliced from 4 exons. The record is from RefSeq and is a predicted model, not a curated record.
GAUCUCACAAUCAUCUUCACGAAGAUUCCACCCAUCAGACUACAGUGAAGCUCUACGAAUUCUGCCCACGCGCCGCAGCUUUCCGCACCUAUCGCUCAAACACCCGCCUCUAAACAUCGUCAGACGUGGUUGGCCGAGAUGUCAGGAAGCAUGUGGGAGACUUUCCAGCAGCGUGAAUGCGAGGCCUUGGUGAGGAGGCAGGAGGGUUUUGACAGAGCAGGAGCAUCCUCCAACGAACGGUAGCUGGCUGCACUGCCACUGCCUUCCCAUUCUGAGCAAUAGCCUUCAUCACACAAAGCAGGGUGAAACAGAGAGGGUGUGAAGGGGUUGGAGUCAAAAAGCCAGAUGCAGUCACGGCACAACUGGUUGCAGUGAUUUCAUUACAUGUCAUCUGCCUGCGUUCAUAAAGGUCUGGACUCGCAGACGGCCGUCCGGAAGCCUUCCGCUGUCCAUCAGUGUCGGUGGAAACAACCUGGGCUCCUCACAUUCACUCCCAGCUUUGUUCCGCUGACAGUUUUGUGAGCAUGGACGUCUCUUCCUCCAGCAAAACCCCGUGACACAUCCUCCCUGUUACACACAGCGGGGCCCAGGAGCCAACGCCAGCUGUCACCGGGCGAAGGCAGCUACGCCCUGGACCACUCAGCACAGGCAACAGGCAACAGGCAGGAAUAAAAGCAGCAGAGUGAGUCCGGGCUGCAGGGCCCCCGUGCACAAUGACACUGGCCUGCACCGUUUCUGCACAGAGAAGCUGCGCAUCCAAAGUUGACUAAUGAGUGCAACACUGUGCAGGUUUGAGCUCAUAAUGAGGUCAAGGUUAAACUCAGGAUCAGUUCUUACCAUCCUUCCUGAGGCGAAUGAAUUCCAUGUCUGUCGUUAUAACGGUUGAUCAGCUGACUGACGGACCGACUGCAGCAGCAGCAAAUGAAAUCUCAGCACCCUGUUAUUGAAACAAUGUGACGUUAUGACAUUUUUAUCUUUGACAUUCUGAAUCCUGCUGUGGUAUAAACAGUGCAUGGUGGCAUUUAGCCUUGCUGUGGUCAGUCUCCUGCUGCAUCAGCGCCAACGUUUAUCACACGCUGCCCUUGCCUUGGCUUUAUCGCUCCCUCACAAAGGGCAAAUAAAGGUUGGUUAUUUGAUAAAAUAAAUCAUCGCAGGCUGUUUACAGCCAUGUUUGGCCCUCGGUCUCGCCGUGUGAACAGCAGAGCUUUUUAACGGGCAGCAGAACGAAGCAUGUGAAUGUCUGGGGAGGGGUCCUCGUCAGCGUUCCUCCUACAGGAGCUCGGAGCGGGCGUCCAACCCUGUUUUGUGUUGAAGGACAGGCUGUGAUACAGCGUGAAGCCUUGGGCGCCGUUAGCAUCCAGCCUCCACAGGCCCACCUGACGUACCUCUGCUCACUGUUCCUCUCCAGACCUUUUCAUUAGUGCUCAUUUUAGAUGGAGAGCUGGGCCCUGGGUCUGCGCUUCCAUCCCAUCCACUUUCCUCCUCACCCUUUGGGGCCAAUUAGGACGCUGGAGCUGAAAAUAAAUGAAACACAGUGGCAAAACAGCGUUUACUUCAAAACCUAACGCUUAAUUUGAAGAUCUCGCUCUCUGAUCUGGAGUUGAAUUAGCAGAGUGAUAUUCCCUUUGAUCUUGUAGGUUUUGCAUUUGUUGCCAACUUAUUGAGUGGAGACUCCAGAGGAACAGUGAGCGCUCGGUGCACACACACAGACACACAAACACACGUACACAAAAAUAUGAGCCCAAAAAAAGAAGGCUGCAUCACAAAUACACGCUGAAACAUUUAAGGAGACAAUUCUGGUCUGUUACACUGCAGGAAAUUAAUUUAAUAAUGUAAGAUCUUUUAGAUUUCAUGAUUCAAAUCCGUUUUUCAAAAACCAGACCUUACUAAACCAUAUUGAAAUCUGGUCCAGGUACCACUGGGGUCCCUCAGGGCUGCAUAUUAGGACAACUACUGCUCACUGCUUAUGUAAAUGACAGGAGAGGCCUGUCUGGUCCUCAUGUGCAGACAAAAAUGGAUGCUGCUGAUGCUGAUUUGCAUAAACAUGCACAUGCACGAAAAUGAGAAGCUGUGAGAAAUCAUGCUCCUCUGACAGUCUAGUAAACAGCAUAAGUGUACAACAACAUAACAAUGUAAAGAG